AAAGCGUGCGCAGGCGGCUUUGCAAGACAGAUGUGAAAUCCCCGGGCUCAACCUGGGAACUGCAUUUGUGACUGCAAGGCUAGAGUACGGCAGAGGGGGAUGGAAUUCCGCGUGUAGCAGUGAAAUGCGUAGAUAUGCGGAGGAACACCAAUGGCGAAGGCAAUCCCCUGGGCCUGUACUGACGCUCAUGCACGAAAGCGUGGGGAGCAAACAGGAUUAGAUACCCGAGU
This 230-nucleotide ribosomal RNA is filed under the name uncultured bacterium. RNAcentral's name for it is "partial 16S ribosomal RNA". It matches the Rfam family "Bacterial small subunit ribosomal RNA", at positions 562 to 791 of the family's 1533-position model. The record is from RNAcentral.